This 489-nucleotide ribosomal RNA is filed under the name uncultured bacterium. Its description in RNAcentral is "partial 16S ribosomal RNA". It matches the Rfam family "Bacterial small subunit ribosomal RNA", at positions 28 to 507 of the family's 1533-position model. The record is from RNAcentral.
GACGAACGCUGGCGGCGUGCUUAACACAUGCAAGUCGAACGGAAAGGCCCCCACCUUGGUGGGGGUGCUCGAGUGGCGAACGGGUGAGUAACACGUGGGUGAUCUGCCCUGUACUUCGGGAUAAGCUUGGGAAACUGGGUCUAAUACCGGAUAGGACCAUGGUUUAGUGUCUCAUGGUGGAAAAAUUAUUGUUUUGGUGCAGGAUGAGCUCGCGGCCUAUCAGCUUGUUGGUGGGGUAAUGGCCUACCAAGGCGUCGACUGGUAGCCGGCCUGAGAGGGUGGACGGCCACAUUGGGACUGAGAUACGGCCCAGACACCUACGGGAGGCAGCAGUGGGGAAUAGUGCAGAAUGGGCGCAAGCCUGAUGCAGCGACGCCGCGUGGGGGAUGACGGCCUUCGGGUUGUAAACUCCUUUCGUUAGGGACGAAGCCACACCUUUUUUGGGUGUGGUGACGGUACCUUUGUUAAGAAGCACCGGCUAACUACGUG